GGUAGUCCACGCCGUAAACGAUGUCGACUUGGAGGUUGUGCCCUUGAGGCGUGGCUUCCGGAGCUAACGCGUUAAGUCGACCGCCUGGGGAGUACGGCCGCAAGGUUAAAACUCAAAUGAAUUGACGGGGGCCCGCACAAGCGGUGGAGCAUGUGGUUUAAUUCGAUGCAACGCGAAGAACCUUACCUACUCUUGACAUCCAGAGAACUUUCCAGAGAUGGAUUGGUGCCUUCGGGAACUCUGAGACAGGUGCUGCAUGGCUGUCGUCAGCUCGUGUUGUGAAAUGUUGGGUUAAGUCCCGCAACGAGCGCAACCCUUAUCCUUUGUUGCCAGCGGUUAGGCCGGGAACUCAAAGGAGACUGCCAGUGAUAAACUGGAGGAAGGUGGGGAUGACGUCAAGUCAUCAUGGCCCUUACGAGUAGGGCUACACACGUGCUACAAUGGCAUAUACAAAGAGAAGCGACCUCGCGAGAGCAAGCGGACCUCAUAAAGUAUGUCGUAGUCCGGAUUGGAGUCUGCAACUCGACUCCAUGAAGUCGGAAUCGCUAGUAAUCGUGGAUCAGAAUGCCACGGUGAAUACGUUCCCGGGCCUUGUACACACCGCCCGUCACACCAUGGGAGUGGGUUGCAAAAGAAGUAGGUAGCUUAACCUUCGGGAGGGCGCUUACCACUUUGUGAUUCAUGACUGGGGUGAAGUCGUAACAAGGUAACC
This 712-nucleotide ribosomal RNA is filed under the name uncultured bacterium. RNAcentral's name for it is "bacterial SSU rRNA". It matches the Rfam family "Bacterial small subunit ribosomal RNA", at positions 789 to 1501 of the family's 1533-position model. The record is from RNAcentral.